UACAGAGGGUGCGAGCGUUGUCCGGAAUCACUGGGCGUAAAGGGCGCGUAGGCGGCUUUUUAAGUCAGGGGUGAAAUCCCGGGGCUCAACCCCGGAACUGCCCUUGAAACUGGAUGGCUAGAGUAGUGGAGAGGCGAGUGGAAUUCCGAGUGUAGAGGUGAAAUUCGUAGAUAUUCGGAGGAACACCAGUGGCGAAGGCGACUCGCUGGCCUGUUGCUGACGCUGAGAUGCGAAAGCGUGGGGAGCAAACAGG
This 253-nucleotide ribosomal RNA is filed under the name uncultured bacterium. Its description in RNAcentral is "partial 16S ribosomal RNA". It matches the Rfam family "Bacterial small subunit ribosomal RNA", at positions 524 to 776 of the family's 1533-position model. The record is from RNAcentral.